UCUCUCUCUCUCUCUCUCAUUCUGUGUAACUUUCACUGGCUAAGGGAAUCGAAGCCUUUUUCUGCCAACUAUUUUUAGGUUCUAGUUUUUUUUCUCCACCAUAAGAGCCUAACCAAAAAUCCAUAAUCAAGUGGCCCUUCUUUAUCGUUUUGUUAUCUUCUGCAGAAACAAACUGUUAAAAGGUUGGUAUCUUUCUUCCUUCCUUUAACAGAGUGAUCUUACUUUCCUCUUUUGUCUUCUUAAAUUUCACUUUUAAAAUCUCUGUUUUUUCUUUCUUCUUGUAGUUCAGUCUCUUCUGAACAAUAAUUUCUCUUUGCUUCGUUUCUUGCUCCUUUUCCCGCUAUCAACUGUUCAUUAGGAUCACAGUAAUGGGUUUCUCUUUUUUCUCACAUCAUUAUCUAAUGGUUCCUCUCCCAAGUACUGCUAAUUCUUUAUUCUUAUUCCUCGAUUCCAAGAU
Molecule: unclassified non-coding RNA, 457 nt
Filed under: Hevea brasiliensis (rubber tree)
Lineage: Eukaryota; Viridiplantae; Streptophyta; Magnoliopsida; Malpighiales; Euphorbiaceae
Source: RNAcentral